CCCCUGGUGGUUCAGUGGUUAGGACUCUGUACUUCCACUGCAGAGGGCCUGGGUUCAAUCCUAGUCAGGAAA
Transfer RNA from Ovis aries (sheep), 72 nucleotides. It matches the Rfam family "tRNA". Rfam says of the family: Transfer RNA (tRNA) molecules are approximately 80 nucleotides in length. Their secondary structure includes four short double-helical elements and three loops (D, anti-codon, and T loops). The record is from Rfam. NCBI's taxonomy places the organism in Eukaryota, Metazoa, Chordata, Mammalia, Artiodactyla, Bovidae.